CAUCGAGCAGAGGGAAAAGGAGCAAUCCGCUUUGAGAUGGCCUCGCGUCCGAUUAGCUAGUUGGUGAGGUAACGGCCCACCAAGGCGACGAUCGGUAGCCGGACUGAGAGGUUGAACGGCCACAUUGGGACUGAGACACGGCCCAGACUCCUACGGGAGGCAGCAGUGGGGAAUAUUGCACAAUGGGGGAAACCCUGAUGCAGCGACGCCGCGUGGAGGAAGAAGGUCUUCGGAUUGUAAACUCCUGUUGUUGGGGAAGAUAAUGACGGUACCCAACAAGGAAGUGACGGCUAACUACGUGCCAGCAGCCGCGGUAAAACGUAGGUCACAAGCGUUGUCCGGAAUUACUGGGUGUAAAGGGAGCGCAGGCGGGAAGACAAGUUGGAAGUGAAAUCUAUGGGCUCAACCCAUAAACUGCUUUCAAAACUGUUUUUCUUGAGUAGUGCAGAGGUAGGCGGAAUUCCCGGUGUAGCGGUGGAAUGCGUAGAUAUCGGGAGGAACACCAGUGGCGAAGGCGGCCUACUGGGCACCAACUGACGCUGAGGCUCGAAAGUGUGGGUAGCAAACAGGAUUAGAUACCCUGGUAGUCCACACCGUAAACGAUGAUUACGAGGUGUUGGAGGAUUGACCCCUUCAGUGCCGCAG
Molecule: ribosomal RNA, 645 nt
Filed under: uncultured bacterium
Lineage: Bacteria
Description: bacterial SSU rRNA
Rfam family: Bacterial small subunit ribosomal RNA
Source: RNAcentral